Molecule: long non-coding RNA, 1827 nt
Filed under: Gallus gallus (chicken)
Lineage: Eukaryota; Metazoa; Chordata; Aves; Galliformes; Phasianidae
Description: lncRNA (ENSGALG00010027429.1)
Source: RNAcentral
AGAAUGGAAGGUAACUGUGUUCCCAUAGCCACUACAUUUCAUAGUCCAGCAUAUAAACAGAAACCCAGAUUGAUUCUAGAGAAGUAAACCAUCAUGCUACCUCCAUGUUAGGACAAAGCCAUCUACUACAGUUGUGGAGCAGACCUCUGGGACCUGCAUAACCUCAAGUCACAUUAGGAUGAGCCUCACUAUUUUGUAAGGUGAAAGUUUAAACCAGAAAACAGUGAAAUGAUGGGCAUGUCUCUUGUGAUAAGACACCACUUAGGACACAACAGCAGUAAAAACAUCUGGUCUAUUUGUUAUUUGUAUGGUGGAAUUUCACUGCUUUGGCUGAGUCUUGUCUAAUUAUUAUUUCUGUUUGCAAUACAAAUAGAUCUCUGCCUGUAAUUCUACCUAAAUAUUCACUGCAUUAGCCAGACUCUAACAGGUACAGUUCUUAAUUGCCUCCCUGAAACUGUACUUGUUUCCACUAGAUCAUUAUGCAAUAUGAAGGUAAUUUAAUUUGGCUUGUGUAAGAAACCUUGAAGACUGCCAACAGUUCAAAAAGCGGAUUAUAGCAAAUGACAGGGGAUUUUAGGUUGUUCAUUUCUUUGUUUUCCAGAGUCUUCACCCACUCUAGCUUCCAUCUGUUGGGUGUUGUUUCCACCCCCACUCCCACCCCCCCCCCCCCCCCCCCCCCGCUACUUCUAAAGGUCCUUUAUUUAUGUUUUGUACCCUUCUGUUUCCACAGAAAUGUUUAUUGUCAGAAAGACAGGCGAGCACAGGGCAGACUGCUUGCAGGAGUGGAGGAAAUGACAGCCUCAUCCCUGAUGAGACAUUUUUCCUCUCAGAGGCAAAUAACAAGAAUAAAAGCUGGCAUUGCUCAGAGACGAAAAGAUAAGGAAAUUUUUACUAGAAAGUGACUCUUCCGUAAGCCUACUCAUUUUCAUUAACACUUUGAGACGUGAUGAAGAUGAUCAGAAAUUCAACUUACUGUGAGUGACUGCCAGAUGAUGGGUUGUUUAGUGCAGACCGCCAAUGCUCUGAGUUAAUCAGGCUCAUGCUGAAGUUGAUUGAAGUGCAGUGGUUGAAUUCACCUAUCAAGAGACAUUCAUUGGUUCUUGGGAAACAAGGUCAAGAUUCCCUCCAUGGCAACACCAACAUUUGAGCCUACUGAUUACAAUAGAAAAAAGAUAAAUUAAUUCGUAUUGUUGCUAUUAUAUGCAGUCUAGAUGGUUUGUUCUCGUUUUCAUUAUUCGUUUGCGUAUCCAGGCCACAGAAUUUAUACAUACGCUUUUUGGCAGGAGCUGAAAAUAGCAGGAAAAAAUAUGCCAAAGACUGAAAGGAUUUCUUUUGCAAUUAUCAACCACUGGCAACUCAAGCCAAAUUUGUGAUAUAUGGUCUUAAGGGACAGUAGGGACCACUGCCAGCAAAUCUCAUGGUAUCACAAGACAAAUCAUUGAAUUUGGGUAAGUUAAGUGUUCAUUAGUUCAGUGCGAAUUUCUUCUGUGUGGUAAAGAGAGGAACAGACUCUUAUCUAUGGCAGGCGUAAAUCCAGUUGAUAUAAAGGUUAAUGAGAAUUUUUUUUCCAUUAACUGAUAUAAGUGGAAAAAAAUAUAUAAUUGGCACAGAUUGCCUGCUGGAAUAAUGGGAAAUAAUUCUUCUUACCUUAGUGGAAACACGAAGAUAAGGAUUGGACUGUCCCAGGUGUUAACUAUUACAGCAAAAUUAUCAAGUAGGAAAAAAUAACAAUAAGAAAGAUGAAUAAGUGUUAUUCAUUAUUUUGUAAAAGUGUGACUGCAUAGAGCCCCGGAGGAGUGUUUAGUGUGGAAAUAAAACACCGAGAAC